GACGAACGCUGGCGGCGCGCUUAACACAUGCAAGUCGAACGGAAAGGCCUGCUUUCCCUUGUGGAUUGCGGGUACUCGAGUGGCGAACGGGUGAGUAACACGUGAGUGAUCUGCCCCCAACUUGGGUAUAAGCCUGGGAAACUGGGUCUAAUUCCCGAUAGGACUGCAGGGUGGUGCCUGUGGUGGAAAACGAUUUUCUAGUGGUUGGGGAUGAGCUCGCGGCCUAUCAGCUUGUUGGUGGGGUAAUGGCCUACCAAGGCGGCGACGGGUAGCCGGCCUGGGAGGGUGGACGGCCACAUUGGGACUGAGAUACGGCCCAGACUCCUACGGGAGGCAGCAGUGGGGAAUAGUGCACAAUGGGCGGAAGCCUGAUGCAGCGACGCCGCGUGGGGGAUGACGGCCUUCGGGUUGUAAACUCCUUUCGACCGCGAGGAAGCCACCUGGUUGGAAGGGUGGUGACGGUAGUGGUAGAAGAAGCACCGGCUAACUACGUG
RNAcentral lists this ribosomal RNA (494 nucleotides) under uncultured bacterium. RNAcentral's name for it is "partial 16S ribosomal RNA". It matches the Rfam family "Bacterial small subunit ribosomal RNA", at positions 28 to 507 of the family's 1533-position model. The record is from RNAcentral.